RNAcentral lists this transfer RNA (72 nucleotides) under Aedes aegypti (yellow fever mosquito). It matches the Rfam family "tRNA". From Rfam's summary of the family: Transfer RNA (tRNA) molecules are approximately 80 nucleotides in length. The record is from Rfam by way of RNAcentral. Lineage: Eukaryota; Metazoa; Arthropoda; Insecta; Diptera; Culicidae.
GGCUCGGUAACUUAGUUGGUAAAGCGCUCGUCGAGCAUACAAGAGUCCAGGGUUCAAAUCCCAGCCGAGCAC